ACACCCACCAACGCCCGGGUACUACGAGCCCCAGCUUAAAACCCAAAGGACUUGACGGUGUCCCACCCACCUAGAGGAGCCUGUUCUAUAAUCGAUGAUCCCCGCUAAACCCAACCUCCCCUUGCAAUCAGCCUGUAUACCUCCGUCGUAAGCUUACCAUAUGAAUGUCUUCAGUAAGUUUAAUGGCUAUAAAACACCAAUACGUCAGGUCAAGGUGCAGCUCAUGGGGUGGUAAGCAAUGGGCUACAAUUUCUAAUCUAGAACAAACGAAACACUGUAUGAAACUCAGUUAUGAAGGCGGAUUUAGUAGUAAAAAGAAAGUAGCGUGUUCUUUUUAACUAGGCCCUGGGACGUGUACACACCGCCCGUCGCCC
This 374-nucleotide ribosomal RNA is filed under the name Nanorana pleskei (Tibetan frog). Its description in RNAcentral is "partial 12S ribosomal RNA". It matches the Rfam family "Bacterial small subunit ribosomal RNA", at positions 853 to 1402 of the family's 1533-position model. Lineage: Eukaryota; Metazoa; Chordata; Amphibia; Anura; Dicroglossidae. The record is from RNAcentral.